This 407-nucleotide ribosomal RNA is filed under the name uncultured bacterium. RNAcentral's name for it is "bacterial SSU rRNA". It matches the Rfam family "Bacterial small subunit ribosomal RNA", at positions 100 to 507 of the family's 1533-position model. The record is from RNAcentral.
AACGGGUGAAGUAACACGUGAACGUAACCUCGCCCCAGACUCGUGGGAUAAACUAGGUUAGGAAAACAGCUGACUAAGUACCGGAUACGAGACGGAGAGGCAUCUCUACCGUCGUAGGUAAAGUUUUUCGGUCUGGGAUGGACUCGCGGCCUAUCAGCUAGUUGGUGAGGUAAUGGCUCACCAAGGCGACGACGGGUAGCCGGCCUGAGAGGGCGACCGGCCACACUGGGACUGAGACACGGCCCAGACUCCUACGGGAGGCAGCAGUGGGGAAUAUUGCACAAUGGGCGAAAGCCUGAUGCAGCGACGCCGCGUGAGGGAUGACGGCCUUCGGGUUGUAAACCUCUUUCAGCAGGGAAGAAGCGAAAGUGACGGUACCUGCAGAAGAAGCACCGGCUAACUACGUG